RNAcentral lists this ribosomal RNA (274 nucleotides) under uncultured bacterium. RNAcentral's name for it is "partial 16S ribosomal RNA". It matches the Rfam family "Bacterial small subunit ribosomal RNA", at positions 523 to 796 of the family's 1533-position model. The record is from RNAcentral.
AUACUGAGGGUGCAAGCGUUAAUCGGAAUUACUGGGCGUAAAGCGCGCGUAGGCGGCUUGGUCAGUCGGAUGUGAAAGCCCCGGGCUUAACCUGGGAAUUGCACUCGAAACUGCCGAGCUAGAGUAUGGGAGAGGGAAGUGGAAUUUCCGGUGUAGCGGUGAAAUGCGUAGAUAUCGGAAGGAACACCAGUGGCGAAGGCGACUUCCUGGCCCAAUACUGACGCUCAGGUGCGAAAGCGUGGGUAGCGAACAGGAUUAGAUACCCCAGUAGUCC